Molecule: long non-coding RNA, 311 nt
Organism: Harmonia axyridis
Lineage: Eukaryota; Metazoa; Arthropoda; Insecta; Coleoptera; Coccinellidae
Exons: 2
Source: RefSeq, a predicted model, not a curated record
AGCGAUUCAAGUUCAUCUCCAAGCCACCUAUCGGAAGAAACUGUAAUAUCGGCUUAAGAGUUUCAUCAUUUAUCUAAUAUUUAUUUCAACAUUAUGGAUAGUGAUUACUGCCCUAAAAUAACGAAAUCAAAGGUGUUUUGUUGUGUUUAUGGAUGCAACAGUAGAGCAAACAGAGAACCCGUUUCAUUUAAUAAGUGGAAAUAGAAUAACUGGAAUUUUAUUUCAAAAAAUAUAUUAAUUUUUCAAUUAUUCAUUACAAAUAUGGUGUAACAUUUUCUCAAUAUAGUUUUUUUUCAAAGAAGUUAACAUAU